Small nucleolar RNA from Xyrauchen texanus (razorback sucker), 122 nucleotides. RefSeq annotates it as small nucleolar RNA SNORA26. The transcript has a single exon. The record is from RefSeq and is a predicted model, not a curated record. Lineage: Eukaryota; Metazoa; Chordata; Actinopteri; Cypriniformes; Catostomidae.
UUGCCCAUUCAAGACCUGCUUUUGUUUUGAAUGACUAACACAGGGGGGUAGAAUAAUUCUCUCAAAAACCUGAAGUAUUGGCUUAAAAUACCUUGCUUUGGAUCCUGUCGGGAGAUACAGUU